Molecule: ribosomal RNA, 360 nt
Filed under: Triticum aestivum (bread wheat)
Lineage: Eukaryota; Viridiplantae; Streptophyta; Magnoliopsida; Poales; Poaceae
Description: partial small subunit ribosomal RNA
Source: RNAcentral
GCCCCUAGGGGAAGGGUUGGUAGGAGUUAACCAUCGCGCGAUCCCGACCUCCUCACAAAGGAAGACAAUCAAAGAAAUACCUCAUGCUUCAAAUUUGUCACACAACGGUUACCAUACGUGCAUGCUACGGGACUUGCAAACCUCAACACAAGUAUUUCUCAAAUUCACAAUUACCCUACUAGCAUAACUCUAAUAUCACCAUCCUCAUAUCUCAAAACGAUCAUCAAGCAUCAAACUUCUCAUAGUAUUCAAUGCACUUUAUAUGAAAGUUUUUAUUAUACCCAUCUUGGAUGCCCAUCAUAUUAGGACUAGUUUUAUAACCAAAGCAAAUUACCAUGCUGUUCUAAAAGACUCUCAAAA